CUACCUUUCGCCUCAAGCCGAGCUGCGGCGUGCCGUGCAGCUGCAACGGUUGAAGGGUCGCGCGCACGUUUAACGAGACACUUCACUUGUUCUGCAGCACGGCGCACCUCGGGAUGACAGUAGUGCAAAGAAGCAGCAGCUCCUCUUUCAGCCUCUCAACACGGCAGUCAUGCUUCACUGAAGAUAAAGAAGAUAUGUCCAUGAGGCGUUAUUAUGAAGACAAAUAAUAAAAGGUUUUCAUUGUGCCAAGUUAACAAAAUGCUUCGAUUUAGUGUGAGUACUUUAGCCCCCUUUCCAAAGGUAAACAAAGGUCGUAUUAUCUGUGUGUGUGUGAAUGGUUGCUGCUGCUAUACAUUCCAGUUUAACCUGAAGCAGACGGCAGGUGAGCUGAAACAUGAGACAACUGUUUGGUCUAGUUCAUACGUGGCGGCUACCUGUCUUUUAAAGAUGACGUAUUGUGCAUUUUGUUUUCCCACAAUGAACAAUAAAUGUUGUUGAAGUAGUAGAGAGUGUAUUUGCGAGCUACUGCAGGGCCGGAACUGGUUAGACGGACGGAUUGAAGCAUGCUAGCCAGACGGGGCGGUUACACACAUAGGCACACUUUCUCUCAAUGAAUUUGACUCUUGCUUUGGGCCUUCGCCACAGAUUGAAGAGGAAAAAAAGUACAAGUGAACAUGGUAAGGAAGAGAACUUGACAACGCGGAUGACGUGACAUGCUGUGCAGAGUUCACCACUGGUGCACUUGUAUAACUCAGACGUCAACUCGACGUUUCUCUAAUCUGGGAUAAUUAGCCUGUUGCAGAGAGACAGAUGCCAACAUCAGAGAUGCCAACACUGUACAGUAUUGCAAUAUUUGGUGGAGUAAAUAAAAAUCUAUGUUCAAAA
Syngnathus typhle (broad-nosed pipefish) is the source of this 885-nucleotide long non-coding RNA. RefSeq lists it as uncharacterized. The record is from RefSeq and is a predicted model, not a curated record. The transcript has 2 exons. NCBI's taxonomy places the organism in Eukaryota, Metazoa, Chordata, Actinopteri, Syngnathiformes, Syngnathidae.